GAGUAAUGCUUGGGAACUUGCCUUUGCGAGGGGGAUAACAGUUGGAAACGACUGCUAAUACCGCAUAAUGUCUACGGACCAAACGGGGCUUAGGCUUCGGCGCAGAGAGAGGCCCAAGUGAGAUUAGCUAGUUGGUGGGGUAAAGGCUCACCAAGGCGACGAUCUCUAGCUGUUCUGAGAGGAAGAUCAGCCACACUGGGACUGAGACACGGCCCAGACUCCUACGGGAGGCAGCAGUGGGGAAUAUUGCACAAUGGGGGGAACCCUGAUGCAGCCAUGCCGCGUGUGUGAAGAAGGCCUUCGGGUUGUAAAGCACUUUCAGUUGUGAGGAAAAGUGAGUAGUUAAUACCUGCUCACCGUGACGUUAACAACAGAAGAAGCACCGGCUAACUCCGUGCCAGCAGCCGCGGUAAUACGGAGGGUGCGAGCGUUAAUCGGAAUUACUGGGCGUAAAGCGCACGCAGGCGGUUUGUUAAGCUAGAUGUGAAAGCCCCGAGCUCAACUUGGGAUGGUCAUUUAGAACUGGCAGACUAGAGUCUUGGAGAGGGGAGUGGAAUUCCAGGUGUAGCGGUGAAAUGCGUAGAUAUCUGGAGGAACAUCAGUGGCGAAGGCGACUCCCUGGCCAAAGACUGACGCUCAUGUGCGAAAGUGUGGGUAGCGAACAGGAUUAGAUACCCUGGUAGUCCACACCGUAAACGCUGUCUACUAGCUGUUUGUGGCUUUAAGCCGUGAGUAGCGAAGCUAACGCGAUAAGUAUGCAUGGCUGNCNUCNGCUCGUG
Molecule: ribosomal RNA, 779 nt
Filed under: Alteromonas sp.
Lineage: Bacteria; Pseudomonadati; Pseudomonadota; Gammaproteobacteria; Alteromonadales; Alteromonadaceae
Description: bacterial SSU rRNA
Rfam family: Bacterial small subunit ribosomal RNA
Source: RNAcentral